Long non-coding RNA from Lucilia cuprina (Australian sheep blowfly), 221 nucleotides. RefSeq lists it as uncharacterized. The record is from RefSeq and is a predicted model, not a curated record. The transcript is spliced from 3 exons. Lineage: Eukaryota; Metazoa; Arthropoda; Insecta; Diptera; Calliphoridae.
UUUUUUUUUUCUUCACCCCAGAAUUUAAAUUUUAAUUAAAUAAUAACGGUUCGGUUGUUAUGUUUGGUCGUGUGGCAUCAUAUCGCUUUGUCGAUUCACCAACUGAUGGCCGUUAUAAUUUGGCCUUGUCACAGUCACAAUUGGAUUCAGCGUGCCUCUAUGAAAGUCGUUCACCAACUUCACCCGGUUCAUGGAAUGAUGAGGAUGGAGCCUUAAGUUCG